This 472-nucleotide ribosomal RNA is filed under the name Rhizophagus intraradices. Its description in RNAcentral is "eukaryotic LSU rRNA". It matches the Rfam family "Eukaryotic large subunit ribosomal RNA", at positions 288 to 629 of the family's 3401-position model. Lineage: Eukaryota; Fungi; Glomeromycota; Glomeromycetes; Glomerales; Glomeraceae. The record is from RNAcentral.
UAAAAUGGGAGGUAAAUUUCUCCUAAGGCUAAAUAACGGCGAGAGACCGAUAGCGAACAAGUACCGUGAGGGAAAGAUGAAAAGAACUUCGAAAAGAGAGUUAAACAGUACGUGAAAUUGUUGAAAGGGAAACGAUUGAAGCCAGUCGUACCUUCGGGUAAUCAGCCUUUCGGGUGCGAUUCUGUGGAGUGUGAGGAGCUUAAACACCUUCAUGUUUUGCAUAUUCGUACUCUUGGGUGUACUUGCCCGUGUGGUUGGUUAACAUCAAUUUUGGUGGUCAUAAAAUGACUGGGGGAAUGUAGCUUCGAUCUUGUAUUGAAGUGUUAUAGCCUUCGGUAGAUGUGAUGAUCGAGAUUGAGGAUUGCAACGGAUACCCUUUGGGGCUACCUGUCUGAUCUCUGAUCGUUGCUUUGGUGCCGAAAGCUUGCUUACGGUUAUCAAAGUCGAUGGUCAAUAGGUUAGAACGGGUUAA